This 75-nucleotide transfer RNA is filed under the name Candidatus Pacebacteria bacterium CG10_big_fil_rev_8_21_14_0_10_45_6. RNAcentral describes it as "tRNA-Arg". It matches the Rfam family "tRNA". Rfam says of the family: Transfer RNA (tRNA) molecules are approximately 80 nucleotides in length. Their secondary structure includes four short double-helical elements and three loops (D, anti-codon, and T loops). The record is from RNAcentral. Lineage: Bacteria; Bacillati; Minisyncoccota.
GCUCCCAUAGUUCAACGGAUAGAACAAGUGCCUCCUAAGCGCUAAAUCCAGGUUCAAUUCCCGGUGGGGGCACCA